AGUGAACGCUGGCGGUGGGCCUAAUACAUGCAAGUCGAACGAACGCACAGUAAGCUUUUGCUUUUGAGGGUGGCGGGUGGCGGAUGGGUGAGGCAUGCAUAGGCUACUUCUUUUUCGUGGGUGAUUACGGAGAGCCGCUUAUGAUACUACCGCAUACGUUGUACGGGUGGGAGCAGGAGUUAUUGGGAGUUUGCCUGACUGUUUGAGACGGAGUCGGAUUAGCUAGUUGGCGAGGUAAGGGCCCACCAAGGCGACGAUCCGUAGCUGAUCUGAGAGGAUGAUCGGCCACACUGGAACUGAGACACGGUCCAGACUCCUACGGGAGGCAGCAGUAGGGAAUAUUCCGCAAUGGGCGCAAGCCUGACGCAGCCAUGCCGCGUGAGUGAUGAAGGUCUUCGGAUUGUAAAACUCUGUUAUUAGGGAAGAAAAACAGUGUAAGAAUCCCCCCCCGUUCUGACGGUACCUAAACAGAAAGCACCGGCUAACUUCGUG
RNAcentral lists this ribosomal RNA (492 nucleotides) under uncultured bacterium. Its description in RNAcentral is "partial 16S ribosomal RNA". It matches the Rfam family "Bacterial small subunit ribosomal RNA", at positions 29 to 507 of the family's 1533-position model. The record is from RNAcentral.